RNAcentral lists this long non-coding RNA (3869 nucleotides) under Homo sapiens (human). RNAcentral describes it as "HSALNT0303138". The record is from RNAcentral. Lineage: Eukaryota; Metazoa; Chordata; Mammalia; Primates; Hominidae.
GUCAAGAAUCUCCUCUCAGAAGGCAGGACCGACUACACAGGGCUGAAGGAGGCAAACACCCUCAAGGCUGAGUGUGCGGAAUUACCUUGUAGAUGCCAAGGGGAGGAAAAGGCUGAGGAGCCCCAGAGAAAGCUCCAUUGCCAUGACGUCAUUUUAUGGACAGAAAGUUCCAUUCUCCUCCUCUGCAAGUGUUGUAGCCUGACAUGGGGCCAGGCUAGGAAGAAUGCUGCGAGCCCUCUUUGGAGUGACACGGACUGUAUGGAUCAUCAGCAGACACACUUUAUGUAAAGGAGAAGGAGCUGUUGAAGCGUCUUGAAAACCUACUGAAUUGCUGAGCAGGAGAACAAGAGAGAAGAUAAGAAGCUACUGUAAGACUCAGCCUAGUGUCUGGCAUUUCCUUGGGAUGAUUUUAAAUCUAAUGUAUAAAUAUGGAAUACAAAUAACAAAGUCAUUAUUAGGCCACUUGCUUAAAUGACAGAAGAUUAGUAACUGAAGGACAAUGAUGUUAAGCAGUGGUUUGGAUGUUGAGAGUUUGAUUCCUUCAGGGUUCCUGGGCCUUUGCCUGCAUACCCUCCACAGUUCCUCCCAAUGCUUCUCCUUCCUCUUGACCCACAAACAGGGCAUCUUGGAAACAGGGAAUUCCUCCCAGACUUUUGUACAUCGACGGUUGCAUGAGAGGCCAAAACUCCAUCCCCUAAGAUGAUGGUUGUGACCUUGAUUUGCUUCUUAACCUGUAUCCAAGAUGCCUCCUGCCUGGGAGAGGUAAAACAAUACUUCUUAUUGCCCAUGUGAUUUGGAUAUGUCAAGGAACCUCCUUGAGACUCAGAUGGUUUUUAGUUGUUUCUUUCUGUGAAAUGGGGUGGUUGGGAGGAUUUGGUGACCACGUAUAAAAGGGCUUUAUAAAUUAUAAAUGCUCUAUCGAGAGGUUGGGGGCAGACCGGCUCCUAACUGUGUGAAGUCUGAGGGAAGAGCAGAAACAAAGGCUCACAUACACAUCUGAAUUUCAAAAAGUUAUAAAAACUGCCAAGUAAACACUUCAAUCUUUCUGCCUUGACAAGACACCUUAUAAAGAACUGAAAGGCUGAAUUUAAAUGUAGAAUUUUUUGACUUCUUGUAGCCCUAUGCUGCAGUGUGACUUGCCUCCCCACACCUCUUCCCUACUUUUUCUCUCCUGCCACAAAGGCCCUGGGUUCACAGGUGCAGGCAUCACAGUCCAUGGUUCAAGUUCUGCCUCCUCCCCCUCCAAGCAGCUACUUCUUGGCUACCUCCUCACCCCCAUGGCCUAGAAGUGUUCCAGGACCCACAACAGGGAGCUUGGAGUGGGCGUGUUUAUGAUGCACAUGAUGAACCAUUGGGCUUUUUCUUUUCUUUGACAUGGAGCUAAAAUUUGUAAUUGUCAAGAUUUCAGGGCCAUCGUUUUGAGUUAUAAGAAGUGAGUAUCUUGAGACCAUUAUCCUAUAGCAUUUUCCUAGCCUAAAUGACCAUUUACCAAAGAGAUUUAAUAGCCUAAGAAUAAAUUUUGUCUUUGUAAUUUUAUUUUUUUAUACUUCUGCAGUUCUGAAAUCAAGUUUACUUUCUCUGACCUUUUCUUUCUUUUCACAGUUUUGGUUUUUAUUUUAAACAAGCUACAGUCAAGAAAUAGAAUUGAGAUUUGUUAUAGUCUCAAUGCAAAAUACUAUCCACUGAUGUGUGCUUUUGCUAUCGGUUAUUAUAUUUAGUUAAUAAAUAGCUCUGAAAAUACAUACAAAGUUUUUGGUACAAUGUUAAAUUUCCCCGGAGACUGUUCAUUCCCUUAUCAAAUAUUUAAGUGGCUUCCACUGCAUGGUGGGAUGGUUUAAGAUCCAAAAGGUACAGAUAGACAGCUAUGGAUAAAAGUAUUAAUCUGACUCAAUUGAACCUUUGACUACUACAGGGGGAAAUAUCAUCACUGUUAGUAAGAAUCGGAAUGUUGGUUUUUAACUGGUGGUUACAGUUUAGAAAAUGAAAGAUCAUUUUGAAUUCCUCUUUUAAGCUGUUUUACCUUGAUAAUAUCAGUCCCUUGCCCACUUACAUGGUAUUUGGAUGCUUACUCUAACAAUAAGUCCUAAUAUGAAAUAGCACAAACUAAGACAUGAGUCUUGGGGUCUCCUAUGGGAGCUCUGUGGCAAGUUCAUAAUCAUGAUUCUGAGUAGGUGAGGAUGAAGCAUCAUUGGGUCUAAGGGUGAGAAUUAAGGAGACACACUUGGCUAUGACUAGGGGGAAUCCUAUGUGGUAGCCACUGGCUAACCAGCUGGAUGCUUUUUAAAGGAAGGGCUUGAGGUAUUGCUCACCAAAUAUUGUAGGCUAGCCUAUAGAAGUCAGAAAAGGCUAGGGUGAAACCAGAAAUGGGUUUCAGAGUUAUCCAGCAGGCUCCACAUCAGCUCACUGGUAUUAGAAAUUUCACCAAAAGAGCUUAAACCAUUUAAAUUUAAGGCUUUGCUAUCUAUUAAUUGUACUUAUCUUUUCUGGUCAGAAGUUUGAGAACCAGGACGGACACAUGAAUGCCACUGCUUUGUCACAGCUGUUUUGUCACCGAGGAUCUUGCAUGACACCAAUAAAACAGCUAAUUUUAAAUAGGGUAAUUAUUUUGCUUGAUUCUAUGCUAAGUCCUCCACAGGCAUAUUUUAGCCCUUAUAAUAUCCUAUGAAAUAGUAUUAUUUUAUCUAGUACACAGAAGAGAAAAGGCACAAGAUGUUAAAUAACUUUGCCCGAGAUCACAGCACUGUGAGAUAGUGGGACUGAGCUUCAAAUGUGGACAGUGAGUUCAGACAGGAAUCUAUCAUUUUGAUCUCUGUUAAUACCUCAUUUACAGAACUGAGGAUUUUGGACUUCUACAGGGUUUGGUAUGUAGACCUGAGCUGAUCUUCCCUAGAUAUAUGGGACCAGGAGACCCAGCUAAUGCCUUUUUUAUCCUUGUUAAUAAGCAGAAAUAAAAGGGUAAAAUUUGGAUUGAUUUCUAGGAGGCAAUAUAUCCAGAGUUCUGGUGGGGGAGGCUCUGAAGUUGAGGUCCAAAGGAACCAAACAAUCCCCCCAAAUCUUCCAUAAUCCAAAGGCUGCAGGAAAGGAAAUGAUUGCCACUCUGUGUUAAGAACUCAGGCCCCUGGUUCAGCACUGACUAAGGGCAGUGAUUGAUGCAUACUGAGCAGUGGAGAUGUUUGUCCUUUACCAAGUCUGUGGCUGUUGGUUGCAUCAGAGCCUGGAACACCUCCAGAGGCAGGCUGGUCUCUGGUACGGAUCCAUGGGCUCACCCCCCCAACUCCCCACCACCAAGUGGGGCUUUUGGAUUGAAUGUCCAAGGAACUGCUGUCGUAUUGGCUUGAAGUUUCCAGAUCUACAAAUCUGAUCUCUCCCCAAGGCUUACCUUGAUGUUGAUUCCAAGUCUAGUGCACAAGGCUGACGAUGACGUAAGAGACAAAUGCUUGAAAGUUGGACAUGGGCCCUUUUCAGGCUGGGGCAGAGCUGAUGGGCAGACUUUGCUUUAGAGGUCUGAGAGGCUGAGUGGAUGGUGUGGGGAAAAGUCAUACCAAGUGUUCUCUGUGAUUUGUUCCUGAAAACUUGCAUGCUUGAGCUGCUGUAAUAGAGCAGCACAGGCAAUCCUUUUCAAAAUCAGUGCCUCAGUCUCCUCAAAUACAAAGUGUAGGAUAAUAAUCUUAGGUCCUUUGGAGGACCUUAGAGGAAUGGUGGUAACAGACAAACAAGUAUUACAAACUGUUAUUAUGCAUGAAAUACUGCAAUGCUAAGUUUCAAAGAAUUAAACUUUAAUUCAUGUAUAUGAUAUGAAUGAAAGUCAUGGUAUUGGACUAGUUUAUACACUGCUCUUUAAAAAUGAAUGAUUAUUAUGAUGAUAAUUA